This is a small nuclear RNA of Cyprinodon tularosa, 113 nucleotides long. RefSeq annotates it as U5 spliceosomal RNA. The record is from RefSeq and is a predicted model, not a curated record. NCBI's taxonomy places the organism in Eukaryota, Metazoa, Chordata, Actinopteri, Cyprinodontiformes, Cyprinodontidae. The transcript has a single exon.
GCACUCUUCUUUCUCUUCAGAUCGCUAAAUCUUUCGCCUUUUACUAAAGAUUUCCGUGCAGAGGAACAACAAGAGUUAUACUAAAUUUUUGAUGCCCUACUAAGAGCUAGGGU